This is a long non-coding RNA of Carassius carassius (crucian carp), 1194 nucleotides long. RefSeq lists it as uncharacterized. Lineage: Eukaryota; Metazoa; Chordata; Actinopteri; Cypriniformes; Cyprinidae. The record is from RefSeq and is a predicted model, not a curated record. The transcript is spliced from 2 exons.
AACCCUUUAAUCUUUUGCUAAAAUCAAUGCAUGCAUGUCAAUAGAGGAAAGUUUCGGAAAAACACAUCAGCUUUUUAAACAUAUUUUAUUAUAUACUAUCUUGUCCAUGAUUUAUUUGGCAAGCAACAUGUUCACUUCAACAUGAGACUGAUGAUGGCAUUGUCAGGUCGUUGUGUUGAUACUGUACAGAUUCCCACAGAGGUGCGGACAUUGUCAGAUAGUGACGGUAUUCUGUGACAUCUAAGUGUUAGGACGAUACAACGAUGUUGUAGUAAUCACAGCACUAAAAGCAGCGAAUGAAACGCAUCCUGUUUUACAACUGCGGCAGUGUUCAUGACGGUAUUCAUAAAAGCGUAUUUAAAAGCAUGCAGUAGAAAUCUACCUAUUCAACAACCACCGAAUGAAAGAUAUAAAAAGUAAGAAAACCAGAGCUGGGUACUCUCAAGAAUGUUCAUUCAUGCAUAAAGGCAGUGAGACUUUGGCAGUGUUGUGCUGCCCUCUGUAGUCACUACCAGACAUUGGCUACUAAGAGGGAGAGGAAAGACUGGAAGCUUGUGAUUGAACACAACUGAUUCCUGCUUUCUCGUUCCGGUUUCUUUAGAAAUUAUCAUACACGAAGAGCCAAAGGCUUAAACAUCGUUCCUACAGGAGGCACACUUUAAACUUGAAGUCAUUCUCAAUCGAUUUCAUGCAGCCCUUGAUUAUCUUGUCAGCAAAGACAAAAAGAACAGGGGAGGAACUGUGAGGCAAACAUGAGAAAUCCUCUACGGCACAUUGUUAAUAAUAUACUUAUCACAAUAGUUUCGGAGGCUUUGAAUCUCACACAACAAUGCACUUUUCUGACGCAUAUGAUAUUAACAUAUAUGUGACAUUCAUUUGUUUCUCUGUUGUUUCUUUUAAGAGAACGAUCCGAAUAGCUUUAUACGCUACUUACAAUCGGAGUUAGUUCUGGUUCAGAUCCUCUGUACGUGACCAGUGCAGUUUUCAGACAGGAAGCUCUCUUCUUGUAAAUGUGCGUUAAUAGUUGUUUGCAUUCGCUAUGUAAGGCUAAUCACAGUCUCCAGCAGCCAAACACGAGAUGUUAUGAUUUCUCUAUAGCCUAUGUUAGAGGUGUAACGGCACACAAAUAUCAAGGUUCGGUAUGUACCUCGGUUUUGAAGACAUGAUGUCAUGAGGAAAUUUACUUAAAUUAAA